This is a long non-coding RNA of Mauremys mutica (yellowpond turtle), 891 nucleotides long. RefSeq lists it as uncharacterized. Lineage: Eukaryota; Metazoa; Chordata; Testudines; Geoemydidae. The record is from RefSeq and is a predicted model, not a curated record. The transcript is spliced from 4 exons.
UAGGAUGCACAGGUGAACACACUCAGAACUCUCAAGAAGAUUGUAUCUGGGCCAUAAGUUGGGGCAUCAAUUCUGCUUUUUCAAAUCACCAACCACAAGGCUCAGAUUGUGAAAGAUUUUUGAACUUCCAGAAACAGCUAUGAAGCAGACGACUCACCGCAGUGAAGACACCACGGAAAGGACCAUCUCAACUGUCUAACCUCAGACUGAAUUUGCACAGAUGCUGUUCAAUACCCCCUUCAUUACUAACCGACUGGAAAGUAACUCCUCCUCAUGUGAUAUGAAUAUAUCAUCCUGCUUCUUUCCAAAUACAGAGCAAAAAUAUUUAUUGAAAAACUUCCGUCUUUUCUGCAUCUGCACAGAUAACUUUCUUUAAAUCAAGAGUGGCGUAAGCAAAAGCAGAAAGAUAAAGCUGAGUGGUGCUGUUGAAGAGAAAUAAUGGCACUAAGGCCACUCUUUCUGCCUAUGUGGAAGAAAGAAUGGCAGUACAGAAAGAAUCAAACCAAAACCUCAGAGUCUCCUUCCAAGGAGAGAAAAGUGAAACUAUGCAAUCAAAACUACAGACAAGCCCAACCAACAGCUAGAACAGCUACAUUGGCAGACUACCAUAAAGAACAAUGUGCAAUGCUGACUCAAGAGACAGAGAAUCACAGCCCCAUAUGGAAAAAAAAUCUUUCAAGUGGAAGAAAGAACGGACAACAACUAGGGAUGAAUGAAAAAUAUUAGAGACUGAGGUGUGGGAUGGACCAGAGAAGUGCAGGGGCCUGAGAAUUAUUAUGUAUUUUGCUGAAGGGAAAGAAGAAAUAAAGCAAGAAGCCUGGGAUUUGGAUCAGAUUUAUCUCUGUUUCCACAUUUACAUAAAAGUGUCUCAAAAUAUGGAGUCUCUCCAAG